RNAcentral lists this long non-coding RNA (2071 nucleotides) under Homo sapiens (human). RNAcentral describes it as "HSALNT0126485". Lineage: Eukaryota; Metazoa; Chordata; Mammalia; Primates; Hominidae. The record is from RNAcentral.
AAAAAAAGAAAUAGGUUGUUUAAAACUUGACAAUAAUAGAAUUUUACAUGAGAACUAUGGGGGUGUCUAGCAUGUUUCCCUUGAGUGUAGGCUGUCAGCAUUGGUGAAGUGAUCGCUUUGGGUUGCUGAUUGAGAAGCUACUUGUUCUCUCAGAAUGGAAGAAUAUUCAGGAGACCGGGUCUGUGGUCUGUUAGAAACCAGGUUUCAGAGCAGGAGGUGAACGAUGGGUGAGCGAGUGAAGCUUCAUCUAUAUUUACAGUGGCUCCUCAACACUAUUAUUACUGCCUGAGCUCCGCCUCCUGUCAGAUCAGCUGUGGCAUUAGAUUCUCAUAGGAGUGCCAACUCUAUUGUGAACUGUGCAUGAGUGACCUAGGUUGUGUGCUCCUUAUGAAAAAUCUAAUGCCUGAUGAUCUGUCACUGUCUCUCAUCACUCCCCUGUUGUGACCAUCUAAUUACAGGAAGGCAAACUCAGGGCUCCCACUGAUUCUACAUUAUGGAAUAAUGAUGCUCGCAUGAAACAGGCAAGGAAGGACAGAAAGAGAAGGAAAGAGAGAAACUGAUUGAAGAAAAAUAAACUUCACAUGGAACAAACUUCACAUGAAAACAUGAGAUUUUUUCUUUUUUUGGGAUGGAGUCUCACUCUGUUGCCCAGGCUGGAGUGCAGUGGCACGAUCUGGGCUCACUGCAGCUUCUGCCUCUAGGGUUCAAGGGAUUAUCCUGCCUUAGCCUACCAAGUAGCUGGGAUUACAGGCGUGCACCCCCCAUACCUGGCUAAUUCUUGUAUUUUUAGUAGAGACGGGGGUUUCGCCAUAUUGACCAGGCUGGUCUUGAACUCCUGACUUCAAGUGAUCCACCCAUCUCGGCCUCCCAAAGUGCUGGAAUUACAGACGUGAGCCACCAUGCUUGGCCGAAAACAGAAGUUUGAAAAAAUUUAUUGAAAAACAUUUUGCCUAUGAUUCCAGUAUCAUAAACAUACUAUAGGACUCCAAAACCCAAUAAAAUUAUACUGUGAUCCUGAAAGUAUCUUAAGAGGCAUUUAAUAUACAAUGUCCAUGAAUAUCAGGUUGAACAGUGUGUUUUUAAAAUAUACAUUUGUAAAUGCUGUUUGUAUAUUACAUAUAUUAACCCUUUGUCUGUCAUUCAGAUUGCAAACAAUUCUGCCACUACUUUGUAUUGUUUUGAUAACUUUCCCCCACAAAAUGUUACUUUUUAAUGUAGUAGGAUAUGUGUAAUUUUAUUUUUACAGCUUUCAGCUUUCUUGUUUUGAUUAAAAUAGUCUCCUCAGCUCCCAAAUUAUACAUAUAGUCUCCUAAAUUUUCCUUUGGAAUUUUUAGGUGGUUUUUAAAUUUUAUUUAUUUUUAUUUUUUGAGACACAGUCUCACUCUGUCGCCCACCUGGGCUGGAGUGCAGUGGCGAGAUCUCUUUGUGUGGCACACAAGGCCCCACCAGGGGUCUGAUCCUGCUUGAUGGGAUCUUGAUUUGCAUAAACCAUACCCCUGCUGGGAUCCCAGCUGUGGUAGAUUGUGUUAUUGUUGAAAAUAUUUGCUUUCUCUCCCUUGGGUAGAUCAUACCUCCCUGUCUCGCUGAUAUCACGCUUGAUGUCUGACUGGCAGUGCCUCUCUCUGAUAGUAUUUUAUAUCCAGGGCGACCUUGUGACUUGCUUUGGCCAAUAAAAUUUGGGUGGAAGGGACGCACAUCGUCUCUGGAAAGAAGCUUCAAGAGCCAGCUGGUGGUUUUGCCAUCUGUCACCCUCUACCACCAUGAGACUGGCAAUGUCCCAGACGGGGGUGGUUUGGCCAGCCCAGGUCCCAGAGUGAACAUGGCAUGGAUGAGAGCACAGACAUUGAAAUGGGCAAGCGGCAUGAGCAAGAAAUACACCUUUGCUGUUGUAAGCCAUAUAGCCUUUAGGACUGUUUGUUACUGCAGCAUAACCUGACACUUUCUGACUGCUACACCAAACUCGCUGGCUUUGAGAGACUUUACCCUUUUUUGCUUUUUUUUUUUUUGAGAUGGAGUUUUGCUCCGUCUUGUACAGGUUGGAGCACAGUGGCAUGAUCUUGGCUCAAUGCAA